GUUACAGGCUGGGCUCAUCGCCCCUCAGCAGCCCAACAGAAAAAGAAUUUCUCUUCCCCCAAGAUUCUAACCCUAACUGCUCCCCAUUCCCUACGUGGGAGAUGGAGCGAGGCCAGUGUCCAACUGCCACUCUCGUCUGUACCUGAUUUCUGGGUUGAGCCUGCUCCUAUGGGCUUCCCACACCCCAUUAUUUUCUCUUUACAAAGGAUUUGUGCCCGCACUGCUUCCCCCCGCCCCGCCUCCUUUCCCAGCCCCACUUCACCCAUACCAAAGAGGAGCAGGACUUGCUGUUGGAAGACAGGAUUUGAGGUCCACUCCCAGUUUCAUGGCCUGCUUUUUUUGUCCCAUUAUAAUCAUUUAGUCCACAAAUGUCCACUGAGCACCUUCUGUGUGCCACUCUGAGUGUUCAGGCCUGUUAGUUGUGCCGGGAAGGGAGCAUCACCCAGGAGCCUUCCAAAGGCAGUGAGUUUUGUCCAAAGGCUAGCUUCCAGUCCCUCUCUGCCCCUCACUGUGUGGCCUGAGGGAAUUCUUUCCCCUCUCUGGGCUUCUGCUUUCUCCUCUGCAAAGCAAGGUGCUGGGGAAAAUGAGGUCCUGGAGCCCCCUCAGCUCUGACACACUGUGGUUCGGUCUUAGAGCGUGUCUCCUGCUCUGAGUCAAGCCAUGAGUGUCACGGACAGUGACCACGAUGCUCCAAAGGCGGGCUGGGCUGAGAAAAGGCCAUGGUCCCGCAGCUGCGCCUCGAAAUCCUUCCCCUUUGUGGCUGUCAAGGGGGCCCAGGGCAGAAGGGGAUCUGGGCCUUCUAAGCCUGUGAGAACCCUGGGCUCUGAGUUUCUGUGAGGUUACCCAGUGCUGCCGCUGAGACAGAAAAUCUCUCUUGGGCUGUUGGUGACUCCCAAGCCUGUCCACCACGGAUGGUCAAGCUGUGGACUCUGAAAGGGAAACGCAGGGAGGCCACAUGGACGGAGGAGAGGAUGAUGCCGAGCUCCCACGGACCCGCCCAUCGCCCUCCUCCCUGUCCCUCCCCUCUCCCCCCAGCCCACCCCUCUUUUCUCUGUCGCAGCUGAAACUGGUCAUCUCCCUGGAGGAGUGGAGACCCUGAGGUAUGGGGGGGGGGGGGCCCUCUGAGGCAUGCCCAGCGGAGAUGACUUCCUUUUUCUUCUGGUUGAGUCCAGGUUCUCUUCAUCCUUUGAACAUCUGGGGACAUGAAUGAAUUCCCCUGGUCACUCUGUCACUCAUUUGUCAGUUCACUCAGAGCUCAUUGCCUUAUUAAUCCAUUUGUUCCCUCCUUUAUUUAGCUCAUGCAUUUUUUCCUAAGCAAGAGGGGGAGAUUUAUUAGGAGAACACAGGGAACCCCAGAACAAACAGCGAAUAGGCUAACUCCUCUUCCCAAGUGACCAGAGCCAGCGGCUGGUAAGGCAUGAGGAACCAAGCCUGCUCUGUUCUUUCCCUGACCCUGGGGCCACCUAGCCACUCCUCUCUGCUUCCCUUUGCACAUCACUCAAUCCUCCUAUCUUUUUAAUCUGUUGGUUUCUCCCCGUUUCCACUGCCAUGACCCUAGUAAAGGAUUGUCCUUUUUUUGGCCUGGAGAAUUGAAAUGGCCUCCCAAUCUUUCUCCCCAAAUCCACUCUUGCCCAUUUCCAAUGGGUUGUUCUCCUUGCUGCAGCCAGAGUGACUUGCUACCAAUAGAGAAUGUAUUCUGUGGCUUUCCCUGGCUCCUAGGAUAAUCAUCAGAAUCAUAAGCGUGGUGUGGAACUGGAUGAUGGCUCGCCACCCUCAGUGCCCUUGUUGUGGUUCCUCCCAGCUGGAGGAUUAGGCGGCCCUGCUCCUUGUUGCUCUCGGGCACGGCAAGGGGGCUGAGGAACGGCAAAGAGCCGGUGUGCGCUUUGUCACUUCUUCUCCUUCUCCUGGGGCAAUGGCGAUAUUGCAGACAGACUGUCCCACAGCCUGAGUCCAGAGGGAAGGCGACAAGCAGUAGAACCAUGUGGACACGUAGCGCGAGAGAUAGACAGACCCGACUGUGGGCCCCUGAGAUCUGGGGACUCAUUUGUUCUCAGCAUAAUCCAGCCUCCCCUCACUGGUACCCAUGGCCCACAAGCUCUCCCUCACUGCCCUGUCUCUCCGCUGGAGGCUUUCAGUACUUACAGGAGCCGCUCCCUCCCACCUUGGAACGUGGUCUGUUACUCUCUCUCUUCGGAAAGUUGCUUAUGCCUAUUUCUGCCUGGUUUAUAUUUACUCACCAGUGAGAUCUCGGCUUAAACGUGAACUACUCAGGAAAGGACUGCCUGAUCUGUGUUCAGAGUACCUUCAAUUCCCCUUCUUUGUCACUAGAUCUCUUUCACUGAACUCUAAGUUCUGUGAAGACAGAGCUCAGGCAUUUGGCUCAUGCUUUUUUGAGGCUCUGCUCCAUCCUCACUAUGUGCCAGGGCCUGUGCUGAGGGGCUGGAGGGGACGGGGGUGAAUCAGCCAUAAGCCCGGCUCCCACAAACCCACCCCCUGGUAGGGGAGACAGACAUGCAAGCAGCAGCAUUCGAACCCACUGUGAUCAUUCCAGCCAGGAUAAAAGAGCAUAAUAAGAGUAUAUGAAAGAGGCUGGAAGGAAGGCAAGGGAGACUGCCUGGAGGAGGAGGCAUCAGAGCGGGUUUUGAGGAGGCAUUGGAGUUGUCCAGCUGCUGGUGGGACUUUUGUAACUUCACUGGGAACACGGGGAACAGAAGAUUUUAAGUGGGAAAUUCACAUCAUUUUAAUUUUCUAAAAAGGGGGAAAAAAUCUGCAAACCACAGACUGGGGAGCUGAGUCUCAGUUCCAGAGCAGAGUUGCCAGCCUGGAGAAGCUGUAAGAGACCCUGAUGCCAGUAGGUGGAGCGAGCGAGCGGUCACCAAGGACAAACGGCAGCGCGGUCACUUCAUUUUCUUUUGCUUGGAGCACGCGACUGGACUGGCCUUACCAAGACCACGUGUGACUCCUCCGAAAGAUGUUUGAGGGUCUCACUAAUGGUAUAUUUUCUGACAAAUGGAGAGAUGUGGGCUAAGCCCAAAUUAGUUGCAUUCAGAACAUUUAAAAAAUAGAUAAUUGGCCAUUCUCAUAUCUUAUCAAAUUGUACGACACACUAUCUUGUCCUUCUCCCUAUGACCAACCAGUGUCUAGAUUCACACUGGCAUAUGAACUUGUUUUCAUCAAAUGGGUUAAUAAGAAUCGGAGGGUUGGUUUGAGCCACGUUAGGCUGCACUGAAUGAAGAGGUAUAAUGUCUAGAGGAGGAGAGAUGAUGGGUUUACUCUCCUCUGGGCUAGGUAGACCACGUGGAAAGUUGUACUCAGUUUGGAAUACCACAUUUUUUAAGUGAAUACAGACAAAUUGGAACACUAUAAGCAGUGUGACAAGGAUGCUGAGGACUUGCGAUAUGUAUAUGCAAUGCAUACAAAAGACCUGGGGAUGCUCAAACAUGACGAGGAGCAGGGGUCUUGGGGGUGAGGGGAUAAGUCGGCUGCUCACAUCUGCUCGAGAGGCUGACAGGUAGAAGACUGUACAGGCGGAACUGGACGUGCAGUCGCUGCUCUUGGACCAAUCAGCGAAAGGGGAAGAACUGGAAUGAAGCUCAACCAACGGAGGAACGUUCAAACAGCUGCAGAUGUUCAAAGAUGAAGAGAUGUCAGUAGGAGGGAGUGAGUUCUCCUUCACCAGAUGUGUUCAAGUCAUUGAUAGACUCUAGCAACACUUUUCAUGGAUUUGGAGAAGAAGGCUCAAGUAUAAGCUGAGUGGUAGAUGAGGUCAGGGUUCACCAUAUGCUAGUCUAGGGAUGGGUGACAGUCCAUUAUAAAAUUUUUACUGAGUCCCUAGAAAGAUACAGGCAACAUGGCUCAUAAAUCUUAACUUAUUCCACUUAAAAGACUAUAAUUUAUUCUGAUAUUUUUUACUUCUUACUUUGUAAGGGUGAAAUGCCAUUUCCUUAAUGAAAUAAUAGCAAUGAUAGGAAUAGGUUUUAAAAUAUACCUUACCUGGCAAAAUAAAAAGUUUGGCAACCC
RNAcentral lists this long non-coding RNA (4020 nucleotides) under Equus caballus (horse). Its description in RNAcentral is "lncRNA (ENSECAG00000053351.1)". Lineage: Eukaryota; Metazoa; Chordata; Mammalia; Perissodactyla; Equidae. The record is from RNAcentral.